RNAcentral lists this ribosomal RNA (301 nucleotides) under uncultured bacterium. RNAcentral describes it as "partial 16S ribosomal RNA". It matches the Rfam family "Bacterial small subunit ribosomal RNA", at positions 509 to 807 of the family's 1533-position model. The record is from RNAcentral.
CAGUCGCCGCGGUAAUACGAAGGGUGCAAGCGUUAAUCGGAAUUACUGGGCGUAAAGCGUGCGUAGGCGGUGAGAUAAGUCAGCUGUGAAAUCCCCGGGCUCAACCUGGGAAUGGCAUUUGAUACUGGAUCGCUAGAGUGUGUCAGAGGAUGGUGGAAUUCCAGGUGUAGCAGUGAAAUGCGUAGAGAUCUGGAGGAAUAUCAAUGGCGAAGGCAGCCAUCUGGGACAACACUGACGCUGAUGCACGAAAGCGUGGGGAGCAAACAGGAUUAGAUACCCCCGUAGUCCCUGUCUCUUAUAC